This is a long non-coding RNA of Oreochromis aureus, 1175 nucleotides long. NCBI's taxonomy places the organism in Eukaryota, Metazoa, Chordata, Actinopteri, Cichliformes, Cichlidae. The record is from Ensembl.
GGCAUUUGUAUUUCUGUGCAGGGAGAAGGUAUGACUACACAAAACCACAGAAACAGUCUCCUCUAGCUAUAGUAUACUUAUCUUGGGUGGAACAGUUUCAGCUGAAGGAAUAAAGGUUUCAAAAGGGAGCUGACAGUAGAACACUUUUAGAGAUUGCUACGCGGAAGUGCUUUGCGCCUGCAUUUAUUUGAAUCGCCAGCAGAGGACGACUCCUGUCAUUUCCAGCAGAAAGUCUAUGAAAAUUACUUCACUGCUCACUUAAUUAAUGACCUCCGUAAGAACUUACUGCCAACAGUAGUGCAGUUUCCACCAGGACCCUGUUGGCCAAAAGUACUGGAGGCAGUCAUUAACCUGGCUCUCGACUGAUCUGGUUCUGUUUUCCCUUCCUGUGUGUUAUCUGAAGCUUUUCUGAGCCACAAGUACAGAAACAUAUCGCUGAUGAUGAGAUGGGGUCCUUCUACCGCUCCGGCAGGCGUCGUGACACAUGCCCUGACUUUUAAUGACCUGCCUGCUCCUUCAGGGGAGCGCACGGGGAACAGACUGGAAUCCAAAGAAUAUCCAGUAUUUCUGAAUGUCAUCAAAACUAAACAGCAAAAUCCUUGAAGGUCUUUAAAAGGAAUGUAUGUCAAGCCCAACAGAAGCAGCUGUGAAUGUUGAAGAGCUAUCUACACGUUUUAUGCUAGAAAAGGAGAAAUGGCGGGCGUUCGUUUGAGUGCAACCAUGUGGCUUCUCUCUUUGUGUGCACGUCUUUCUCCUCAGUGUGCAUCUGCCUCAAAGGUGGAGCAUGUUUCAGAUUGGUUGGUGGUUUGAGGCCCAGAUCCAACACUUCUUGUUUGCAGUGGCAGCAGGCACAACCUUUUUCCAGACAGAUCCUUAUCCACACACGCCCUAACACAUAGACAUACAUCGACACAGACUUUGAGAAGCCGAACUCGUGUGCACCAUAAUCUGCACUCUCCGCUGGGUUUGUGUGAGUGUGUAUAUGCAUAUAUAUGUAUUGUGAAUCUGUGUGUGCAUGUUCGUGAACAUUUCUCUUUGAAUCUUUGUGUGUGCGCGAAUCCUGUCUGGCUGCAUAGAGGGGCUGAGGUGAGUGAUUGCCUUGUUUCUGUGGGCGGCAAGCUGUGGCGGUUUGCUCUCACUGUAAAUUUAGAAGAAUUCUUAAUGGAACUCCAGAG